GAUAUUUCCAAAAACUAAUUUUUAAAAAAUUACUUUUAUUCUUUAAUUACACAUAAAUAAUUUAAACUGAAAAGGAAAAAUAAACUUUUUCAAAGAAUUAUAAUAUUCCUUUAGUAUCAGGAUCUAUUAAUUCAAAUAAAAAUUUUUUAAUUCCCGAAAUUUUAAGAUCUAUUUAAUAUUAUAAAUUCAUUAUAUGAAUAAUUAUAAUAUUCAAUCGAAAUUAGACGUUAUUCGAUUAAAAUAAUAUCUGGUAUUUUAUAAAAAAAUAUAUUAAAAAUAAUUUUUGUAAAACAAAUUACAAAUAAAAUUUAAAAAACAUACUUACAAAUAUAGAAAUUAUAAUAUUCAAAUAGUUUAAUAACUUAACUAAACAAAUUAAAUUAAACUAUACUAUUAAAAUAUCAUUUUAAUAAUAUAAAAAUAAUAAAAUAAGUAAAUUAUUUAAAUAAAUUACAAUAACUCAUAUAUUUAAUGACUGUUUAACAAAAACAUUUCUAUUAAUCAUAAUUAAUAGUAAAAUCUGCUCAAUGAAAUAUUUGAAUAGCCGCAAUUGUGCUAAGGUAGCAUAAUCAUUUGUCUUUUAAUUAAAGACUAGAACAAAAGAUUUAACACUUAAAAUUAUUUCUUUAAUUUAAAUAUUAAAAUUAUCUUAAAAGUAAAAAGCCUUUUAUAUAACAGAAAGACGAUAAGACCCUAUUGAAUUUUACUUUAGUUUAACUGGGGCAGUUAAUUAAUUAAUAUUUUAAUAAAAAUACUUAUAAAACUGAUCUAAUAAAAUUAAUUAAAUGACCAAAUUACCGUAGGGAUAACAGCGUAAUAAAAUUUAAAAGAUCUUAUUUAAAAAAAUGAUUGCGACCUCGAUGUUGAUUUAAUAUUCUUAUCUGCGCAAUAGUGGAUAAAGAAAGUCUGUUCGACUCUUAAAAAAUUACAUGAUUUGAGUUCAGACCGGUGUAAACCAGGUCGGUUUCUAUCUUCUUAUUAUUUCUUCUAGUACGAAAGGACCUAAGAAAAUGAUUUAAUC
RNAcentral lists this ribosomal RNA (1021 nucleotides) under Oxyopes sertatus. RNAcentral's name for it is "16S ribosomal RNA". The stretch from base 677 to 976 matches the Rfam family "Archaeal large subunit ribosomal RNA", at positions 2151 to 2715 of the family's 2987-position model. Lineage: Eukaryota; Metazoa; Arthropoda; Arachnida; Araneae; Oxyopidae. The record is from RNAcentral.